AUGUAACCGAAGGAGCUCCCUUCGUCCAAAACGAAGAGGACAAGAUUUAAGGAAAUAGAAAUAGAAAAUCUAAUUGUUCAUGGAUUCCCUAUUAAGUGCUUGAAUAAUGAGCACUUUAUAAAGGGUUUGCAUGGCCUCUUAGAUCUUCUCUCUUUCUCUACGUAUAUAUAUCCUUCUCUUCUCUUCGUUUGGAUUGAAGGGAGCUCCUUUUAUUUUUCUC
This 220-nucleotide microRNA precursor is filed under the name Brassica oleracea var. oleracea. RNAcentral's name for it is "pre miRNA MIR159". It matches the Rfam family "MIR159 microRNA precursor family". Lineage: Eukaryota; Viridiplantae; Streptophyta; Magnoliopsida; Brassicales; Brassicaceae. The record is from RNAcentral.